This is an RNA transcript of Leptidea sinapis, 3911 nucleotides long. It is a transcript of the gene named synaptosomal-associated protein 25-like, with no coding region annotated. The record is from RefSeq and is a predicted model, not a curated record. The transcript is spliced from 9 exons. NCBI's taxonomy places the organism in Eukaryota, Metazoa, Arthropoda, Insecta, Lepidoptera, Pieridae.
CGCCCUUUUCAUAUCAUAAUAUAUUUCAAUUUGAAAUUUUACGAUAUUUAAAUAAAUACUAAAUAGCAAUUUAAAAAAUUUAACUUCAUAUCAACAAGUGACAAAUAGCCGCCUUAAUCGCGUUCAAUAAUAUUAUAGAAACUUUAUGCCGCGCAUGACAAUUACACCUUGAAUUUAAUGCGCAUAGUCAAAACAUUGCGCAUUUCAGAGGCUAACCUCAUCGAAUCAAUCGACCUACAGUGCCGAUGAAAGCUAGAGAAAGGCUUUCAAUUAAAUCUUCGUGCAUAUUACAGUGACCUAGUGUGGAAUUCAUCUGUACCUCAGGAUUCUUAUUUUCUCCCAAGACUUUAGCUAAACAACCAGAAUGCCAUCAGCAGAGCCUCCGCCACCCGCCGAAAAUGGCGCGCCAAGAAGUGAGCUGGAACAGCUCCAGAUGCGAGCUGGACAAGUUACUGAUGAUUCUUUGGAAUCGACAAGACGUAUGAUGCAACUAUGCGAGGAGAGCAAGGAGGCUGGCAUUCGUACUCUGGUUGCUCUAGACGACCAGGGAGAGCAAUUGGAUAGAAUUGAAGAGGGGAUGGAUCAGAUAAAUGCUGAUAUGAGAGAGGCUGAGAAGAAUCUGUCGGGGAUGGAGAAGUGUUGCGGGAUCUGUGUGCUGCCGUGCAACAAAGGAGCGUCGUUCAAGGAAGAUGACGGUACAUGGAAGGGCAACGACGACGGCAAAGUGGUGAACAACCAGCCCCAGCGAGUGAUGGACGAACGCAACGGCAUCGGCCCGCAGGCCGGAUAUAUUGGCAGGAUAACAAACGACGCCCGUGAGGACGAGAUGGAAGAGAACAUGGGCCAGGUGAACACGAUGAUAGGUAACCUGCGCAACAUGGCCAUCGACAUGGGCUCUGAACUAGAGAACCAGAACCGACAGAUCGACCGCAUCAACCGCAAGGGUGAAUCGAACGAAACGAGGAUAAAGGUUGCCAACGAGCGUGCACACGAGCUCCUCAAGUAAACGUCGGCGGCUCCACACAACAACACACAACCACACACAACUGUUAUUUCUCCGUUUUAAUAUUUUUUUACGCAGCAGAUAGAAAAUAUCGGACAUUGACCUUAUGCUACCUGUCCUUGUCGCUCGGAUAAGUCUUUGUAAUUGUGUCUAAAGUACCUACGUAAUAUAUAUAAUAUGUAAUCGUAUCUAGUGGCUUAUCUAGUAACGUUAUAUAAUCAAUGAAUUCUAAUGUUUGCAACCAGUACAUUGCUUAAACAGUAUUUUAGUUAACUUUGCUCAUAACAUUUAUUCGCAUAUAAUAUAAUAAAUAUAUAAAAUUCAACUUAUUAUAACGAGGAGAUUACGAAGUUUAAUAUAAAGUUGUUUACUUGGUAUUUAAAAAAAUCUAAAAUUAUAUUAUCAUAAUAAUAUUUAUAGUACUAGUAUAGUUAGUUAGUGUAAACUAUUUUGAAAAUAAACCCUUUUUGUGUUUUGUCUUACAAUUUAACACGAAAUCGCAAAUUUUCUUAUUUUGGGAGUAUUAUGUUAAUGUACUGAUUUUUUCAUAUAUUUUUAUAUCAAAUGAGAUUAUAUUUGAUCAGAAUAGUGUUAUUUUUGAAUUUAAGGGUAAGUUAUUUCAUGAAAAUAUGACGUAAGGAUCGUUUGAUAUGUGAUAGUAGAUCGAGAGCUAGUUGUAAGAGCAGCAUAACAAGUGUUUCUAGGUUUAUACACUUCAACGAAUUUCAUAGAAGCACUUAUGUUUAAAUAGUCUGCUUUCAAUAAAUUAUAUAAAAGGUUUCUGGGAAAAAAAUCGCAUCACAUUCACCAUUUUUAAUCAAUAAGUAUUAAUGGAAAAUGUGACUUCUUAGAAAUUACAUAUCGCAUAAACAUAUCUGCUUCUAUGGAAUUGUAAGAUUUUCUACUUAAAAGUAAAGAGCAUUUCAUUACUUUUUUCUUGUGUGAAAUUGCUUGCGUUCAAGAAAUUUCAUUUGUAAAACACUGUUGUGGACGGUAAAGUAGUUUAUGAACAUACUUUGAGUAAUAAACUUACAAAUUUUUCUUAAGUUAGGUGACGAAUUUAAACAUAAAUAUUGUUUGUUUUUGCAAAUAGUAACUAAAAAGUUAAAUAUAAAAUAAAUGUUAUUUCAGUUGUUGAAAGGUUAUUCGUCGAGAUUUUGUUAAAAGUAUAACAAAAUAACCGAUUUGCAUCCCUAUUAUCGAAGUAAUCGGCGGGCGUGCUGCGCUUGACAACAGCUGAAUCCCCCAUACCAUAAAACUCAGUGGUCAUUUUGUUAAGGGAUGUCCAUUAAAGAUUGCGAUAGCAAAUCGACAGUUGCUAUACGUGUAAAAUUUAUCAAGUCUUGACGAACAAUCUAAAGUUUAUAAUCACCGCUAAUUUUAAACUUAUAGCGAUCAAUGUACACAAAAUAUGUUCACAAGACACUACAGACACUAAACACACACACACAAACAUCACGAGGACAGCACACAGACAUUGGUGAGAGCAACGAGACGCGCAUAGCAGUCGCGAACCAGCGUGCGAAUAAGCUGUUAAAAUCCUAAACACCUAUAUAUAUAUGUAAUACCCACUCGUAUAAAUUUACAAAUCACAUGUCAAUCCUUAACGGGGCAAAAAUAACAGUAGUAGAGCAUUUUAAAUUUUUAUUUGCACAUCAGUACGGCCCUGGAUUUGUACAGAAAAAGUGAUGUAUAAUUAUUGUGUCAAAAAUUCUGUUCAUAUAUCAUGUAAAUAUGUGGCAACCAAAUGGCAAUAUUUUAAUAUGAAAAAGUUUGUAUUAGUACACAGUCUGUAUAUUUUGUAAUGUUUUUAAUUUUACGGACCAAUAUAAUAUGAAAGUGGUGUUUCAUCAAUGCGGAAGUUUCUUAACAUUUAUGACAUAUCAAUGUGAAUUCCUAAUUAUGUAUUAAUGGCAAUAUUGAAAUGAUUGAGUUGAAAACAAAUUUAAUAUUUUUGCCAUAAUAUAAUUAAUUUAUAACGAUAUUAUAAAUUAAAUGGCCAUGUAAAUUGACAACUUUAAAAGCUAUUGAUGUAGGUAUGAUAAAUUGAAUUGAAAAUUUAUAGUUAUGGCAAAAUAAAAAGCUAUUGAUAUUAGGUAUGCUAAGUUGAAUUUAAAAUAUAAAGUAAUGGUAGUAGCGCCAUCUUUGAAUCAAAUCGUUAACAUCUCGACCAGAGAUUUAACGAGGCCAGUAAUAGAUAGUAUUGUAAGGUGGGCACGCCGAUUAAAUAGUUUAAUAUGAAAACAAUAAUAAAAGGAAUUAAAUUAGCUUUAAUCUAUUUCAAAUUCUAUAGUUAUGCAGUUACAGUUGAUAUUGUGAUUUCGUACCAAAUUGUAAUGCACGUUCGCUAUAACCUCACGUCAUAGGUACGAGUAGUUUCAAGAAAAUACUGGCAGGUCUAAUAACUAAAAAGGUACGGAGCUGGGAAGCUGGUAUUACAUUUUGUAACCACAGACAUGCACGGACUAUAAAUGCAUGGAGAGCGCGUCGGCUGAUUUUUGUAUUUGCACAAACUUACCAAUCAGCGGCGGCGGAACUGCGUUGUUCGCUUCGGGGUUAGCUUCGCUGGCUGCAAUUGGCCGACGCGUGGCUGACGCAGUGACAAAUGAUUCACUAUUGGCGCGUUGGCGUGUAAUCUGUGACCUAAUCUUGUUCUUGCAUGUUUGGUGAGAUAAUUUAAAGUGUAAUUUUUUUUUUUUUUUCUUUGAUUAAUUGGCUAAUAUAACAGUAGAUGACUUGUUACUCGGUCACAGAUAUAACAAUUUACAUCUCCUGCAAUAAGUUUAAAAACAUUAUUAAUUUGGUAUUUAUAUUCUUUAUUUUUGUGUGUAUCAAAGUGCUCUAUAAAUUAGGAUAGGAUUAGUCCCAUCCUAAUAUGAUUAGGUAUCAAUGAGUGAUUGAUGUUCCA